GACGAACGCUGGCGGCGUGCUUAACACAUGCAAGUCGAACGGAAAGGCCCUGCUUUUGUGGGGUGCUCGAGUGGCGAACGGGUGAGUAACACGUGAGUAACCUGCCCUUGACUUUGGGAUAACUUCAGGAAACUGGGGCUAAUACCGGAUAGGAGCUCCUGCUGCAUGGUGGGGGUUGGAAAGUUUCGGCGGUUGGGGAUGGACUCGCGGCUUAUCAGCUUGUUGGUGAGGUAGUGGCUUACCAAGGCUUCGACGGGUAGCCGGCCUGAGAGGGUGACCGGCCACAUUGGGACUGAGAUACGGCCCAGACUCCUACGGGCGGCAGCAGUGGGGAGUAUUGCACAAUGGGCGGAAGCCUGAUGCAGCAACGCCGCGUGCGGGAUGACGGCCUUCGGGUUGUAAACCGCUUUCGCCUGUGACGAAGCGUGAGUGACGGUAAUGGGUAAAGAAGCACCGGCUAACUACGUG
RNAcentral lists this ribosomal RNA (468 nucleotides) under uncultured bacterium. Its description in RNAcentral is "partial 16S ribosomal RNA". It matches the Rfam family "Bacterial small subunit ribosomal RNA", at positions 28 to 507 of the family's 1533-position model. The record is from RNAcentral.